This 490-nucleotide ribosomal RNA is filed under the name uncultured bacterium. Its description in RNAcentral is "partial 16S ribosomal RNA". It matches the Rfam family "Bacterial small subunit ribosomal RNA", at positions 30 to 507 of the family's 1533-position model. The record is from RNAcentral.
AUUGAACGCUGGCGGCAUGCUUUACACAUGCAAGUCGGACGGCAGCACAGAGAAGCUUGCUUCUUGGGUGGCGAGUGGCGAACGGGUGAGUAAUAUAUCGGAACGUACCGAGUAAUGGGGGAUAACUAAUCGAAAGAUUAGCUAAUACCGCAUAUUCUCUGAGGCGGAAAGCAGGGGACCUUCGGGCCUUGCGUUAUUCGAGCGGCCGAUAUCUGAUUAGCUAGUUGGUGGGGUAAAGGCCUACCAAGGCGACGAUCAGUAGCGGGUCUGAGAGGAUGAUCCGCCACACUGGGACUGAGACACGGCCCAGACUCCUACGGGAGGCAGCAGUGGGGAAUUUUGGACAAUGGGCGCAAGCCUGAUCCAGCCAUGCCGCGUGUCUGAAGAAGGCCUUCGGGUUGUAAAGGACUUUUGUCAGGGAAGAAAAGGCUGUUGCUAAUAUCAAGAGCUGAUGACGGUACCUGAAGAAUAAGCACCGGCUAACUACGUG